UACGUAGGGUGCGAGCGUUAAUCGGAAUUACUGGGCGUAAAGCGUGCGCAGGCGGUCUCGUAAGCUGGGUGUGAAAGCCCCGGGCUUAACCUGGGAAUGGCAUUCAGGACUGCGAGGCUCGAGUGUGGCAGAGGGAGGUGGAAUUCCACGUGUAGCAGUGAAAUGCGUAGAGAUGUGGAGGAACACCGAUGGCGAAGGCAGCCUCCUGGGCCAGCACUGACGCUCAUGCACGAAAGCGUGGGGAGCAAACAGG
Molecule: ribosomal RNA, 253 nt
Filed under: uncultured bacterium
Lineage: Bacteria
Also listed under: 2 other names
Description: partial 16S ribosomal RNA
Rfam family: Bacterial small subunit ribosomal RNA
Source: RNAcentral